GACGAACGCUGGCGGCGUGCUUAACACAUGCAAGUCGAACGAUGAAGCCGGAGCUUGCUCCGGCGGAUUAGUGGCGAACGGGUGAGUAACACGUGAGUAACCUGCCCUUGACUCUGGGAUAAGCGUUGGAAACGACGUCUAAUACCGGAUACGAACCUCGACGGCAUCGUCUGCGGUUGGAAAGAAUUUCGGUCAAGGAUGGACUCGCGGCCUAUCAGCUUGUCGGUGAGGUAAUGGCUCACCAAGGCGACGACGGGUAGCCGGCCUGAGAGGGUGACCGGCCACACUGGAACUGAGACACGGUCCAGACUCCUACGGGAGGCAGCAGUGGGGAAUAUUGCACAAUGGGCGAAAGCCUUAUGCAGCAACGCCGCGUGAGGGAUGACGGCCUUCGGGUUGUAAACCUCUUUUAGCAGGGAAGAAGCGAAAGUGACGGUACCUGCAGAAAAAGCACCGGCUAACUACGUGCCAGCCGCCGCCGUAA
This 484-nucleotide ribosomal RNA is filed under the name uncultured bacterium. Its description in RNAcentral is "partial 16S ribosomal RNA". It matches the Rfam family "Bacterial small subunit ribosomal RNA", at positions 28 to 523 of the family's 1533-position model. The record is from RNAcentral.